This 252-nucleotide ribosomal RNA is filed under the name Senegalimassilia anaerobia JC110. RNAcentral's name for it is "partial 16S ribosomal RNA". It matches the Rfam family "Bacterial small subunit ribosomal RNA", at positions 524 to 776 of the family's 1533-position model. Lineage: Bacteria; Bacillati; Actinomycetota; Coriobacteriia; Coriobacteriales; Coriobacteriaceae. RNAcentral also lists the same sequence under 2 other names. The record is from RNAcentral.
UACGUAUGGGGCGAGCGUUAUCCGGAUUCAUUGGGCGUAAAGCGCGCGUAGGCGGAGCGCUAAGCGGGACCUCUAACCCGAGGGCUCAACCCCCGGCCGGGUCCCGAACUGGCGCUCUCGAGUGCGGUAGGGGAGAGCGGAAUUCCCGGUGUAGCGGUGGAAUGCGCAGAUAUCGGGAAGAACACCGACGGCGAAGGCAGCUCUCUGGGCCGAAACUGACGCUGAGGCGCGAAAGCUGGGGGAGCGAACAGG